UUUUUAAAUUUUUUUUUUUUUUUUUUUACCAUUGUAAAAGUAAUAUACCACAUGUAGAUUAUGGGUAUCUACAAGUAUAUGAGAAGCACUAAAAAUUGGCUUGGAUAAAAACUAUCAAAAUUCAACAAUAAAAACUAAUAAGUGGAUAAAAGACCUCAAAGAGGAUAGCAAACAAGCUCAUGAAAAGAUAAUCAAAUUGCUAGUCACUGGGGAAAUACUAAACCCUUAGUGGGUUACCACAAUGUAAUUUAUUAGAAUAGCUAAAACUUUUUUAAAAAACAAAAAAACCUAAUAGUACUAAGUGUAGGCAGGGAUAUGGAACAACUGAAACACUUUUGAAUUGCUGGCGAGAAUGCAAAAUGGUAAUAGCCACCCUAGGAAGACAGAUUAGCAAAUUUAGCAAUGUCUGAUGAAGCUAAACAUACACUUAACAUAUGACCCAACAAACUCACCCCUAGGUGAUUCUCAGGAAAAAUGAAAAUGUGUUUACACACAACACAAUCUGUAUAUAGAUGUUUAUAGCAGUUUAUUCAUGAUUGCUAAAAACUGGAAACAACUCAAAUGUCCUUCAGUUGGUGAGUGGAUAGUGGAAUACCAUUUGGCAACAAAAAGGAAUAUGCUGUUGGAUACAUACAACACCAAUGGAUUAAUCUCAAACUGAUAAUGCUAAGUGAAAAGCCAGACUAUGUACUGUAUGAUUCCAUUAUAUGACAUUCUGGAAAACACAAAACUAUGGACAGAGGAUAGAUCAUUGGUUGCCAAGGCUUAAGCCUGGAGGUAGGGUUUGGUCACAGCAUCUUUGGGGGAUAUUCUGUAUCUUAAUUGUGGUGAUGGUUAUAUGACUUGUCUAUACUCAGAUCUAUACACUAAAAUGUGAGUUCUAUAUGUAAAUUUAAAAUAAGCUUGGAGAAGAAAUAGCCUGGAUAGAUACACAUGCAACUUGUAAUAGUUGUCCCUGGGAAGGAGGGAAAGGGGACCAGAGAGGAAUUAAAGGGGAUUUUAGCCUCACUAUAUGUUUUCUUUAGAAAAAAAAAAAAGUAAAUAUGACAGCAUACUAUUAAAUUUAUAGGGUAAGUUUAUCAGUGUUUGCUUUCUUAUACUUAUUUGUAUUUUUAAUUGGCCAAAACAUAAACCAAGCAAAAUAUAUCCUCCUAAAGGAAAAUUCAGAGAAGACAUUAAAGUAGAAGGGGGAAGAAGUCACCAGUUGUAUUAAAACAUUUGGGUGUAUUUCCUCUGUUCCAUCUCGUCAUGUUUGUUUUUGCAUAGUGGAAAGUGUAAUAUAAUGUAAGAACAAUACAGCCUGUAGUUUUAGUUUUACUUGGUAUAUCCUAAAUAUGUUUUUCUUCCUCUUAAAUGAUCUUCAUAAAUAUUAUUUGCAGUGAUGUAAUGUCAAUCUUAAGGCCUGCAACUGCUCUCAUUUUACAGUUGUAGGUAUUUUUGUAUUAAACUGGUGUUUCACUUCACUAACACGGAAGCACGUAUGAGGGUAUGUUUGCACGAAUCCUGUAAAUUACGACGUCUCUGAGCCAUUGUAAUUUAAUAGGAAGUCCUAUCUUUCCUUGGAGUUUUCCUCCACAAAUGUUUCCAUGUACUUCAUGUUCAGUACAGCUGGAGGUCCACAUCCCUGCUGGUCACUAUCCUGCUGGAAACCAUCAGGAUACACCAGCUCUUUGUAUAAUGUAUUUUCAAGGAGAGCCCAUGGCAAAAUCACCCAGCUUCUGGUGUUCUUUUGUAGAUUUGUCUGACUCCUUAGAUUAACUCAUGCCAUCAUUUUCGCCAAGGCAGGAAGUGGUGAACCUCUCUAAUCCAGCACUCUCCUCUGAUCACCUUCUUUACACCCUAAUAUAUGCUUCCGUUUCUUUAAUUGUAAACUGGAGAUAAUGACACAGCUUUAAUGCAUGUGGAAUGCUUAGUAUAGUGCCUGGCACUUGAUAGAUUUUUUUCCAUUCUUCGUGAAGUUCAUCUUCGAGUUAAAAGAAACCCUCUGAACCCUGCUAUUUCUAUGCUCCUUCUGCUCUCAGAAUCUGUUCCACAUUACUGAACGUUUUAAUUAGAGUUGCAUACCAUCUUCCUUGAUUACUAGAUCUCCAGCCUUCCAUAGCACCACAUGUAACUUUGUGUGUGUGUCUGUGACCCUCAUUGAAGUGCUGUGAAGGCAAGAACCAAGACUUCUCUGCAUUGUUCUCAACGCUUAGCAGAAUACCUGGCACAUAGUCCCUCAAUAAAUACUUAUGGAAUAAAUGAAGGAA
Molecule: long non-coding RNA, 2249 nt
Filed under: Canis lupus familiaris (dog)
Lineage: Eukaryota; Metazoa; Chordata; Mammalia; Carnivora; Canidae
Description: lncRNA (ENSCAFG00000054502.1)
Source: RNAcentral